GAUGAACGCUGGCGGCGUGCCUAAUACAUGCAAGUCGAGCGAACGGACGAGAAGCUUGCUUCUCUGAUGUUAGCGGCGGACGGGUGAGUAACACGUGGAUAACCUACCUAUAAGACUGGGAUAACUUCGGGAAACCGGAGCUAAUACCGGAUAAUAUUUUGAACCGCAUGGUUCAAAAGUGAAAGACGGUCUUGCUGUCACUUAUAGAUGGAUCCGCGCUGCAUUAGCUAGUUGGUAAGGUAACGGCUUACCAAGGCAACGAUGCAUAGCCGACCUGAGAGGGUGAUCGGCCACACUGGAACUGAGACACGGUCCAGACUCCUACGGGAGGCAGCAGUAGGGAAUCUUCCGCAAUGGGCGAAAGCCUGACGGAGCAACGCCGCGUGAGUGAUGAAGGUCUUCGGAUCGUAAAACUCUGUUAUUAGGGAAGAACGUAUGUGUAAGUAACUGUGCACAUCUUGACGGUACCUAAUCAGAAAGCCACGGCUAACUACGUGCCAGCAGCCGCGGUAAUACGUAGGUGGCAAGCGUUAUCCGGAAUUAUUGGGCGUAAAGCGCGCGUAGGCGGUUUUUUAAGUCUGAUGUGAAAGCCCACGGCUCAACCGUGGAGGGUCAUUGGAAACUGGAAAACUUGAGUGCAGAAGAGGAAAGUGGAAUUCCAUGUGUAGCGGUGAAAUGCGCAGAGAUAUGGAGGAACACCAGUGGCGAAGGCGACUUUCUGGUCUGUAACUGACGCUGAUGUGCGAAAGCGUGGGGAUCAAACAGGAUUAGAUACCCUGGUAGUCCACGCCGUAAACGAUGAGUGCUAAGUGUUAGGGGGUUUCCGCCCCUUAGUGCUGCAGCUAACGCAUUAAGCACUCCGCCUGGGGAGUACGACCGCAAGGUUGAAACUCAAAGGAAUUGACGGGGACCCGCACAAGCGGUGGAGCAUGUGGUUUAAUUCGAAGCAACGCGAAGAACCUUACCAAAUCUUGACAUCCUUUGACAACUCUAGAGAUAGAGCCUUCCCCUUCGGGGGGGCAAAGUGACAGGUGGUGCAUGGUUGUCGUCAGCUCGUGUCGUGAGAUGUUGGGUUAAGUCCCGCAACGAGCGCAACCCUUAAGCUUAGUUGCCAUCAUUAAGUUGGGCACUCUAAGUUGACUGCCGGUGACAAACCGGAGGAAGGUGGGGAUGACGUCAAAUCAUCAUGCCCCUUAUGAUUUGGGCUACACACGUGCUACAAUGGACAAUACAAAGGGCAGCGAAACCGCGAGGUCAAGCAAAUCCCAUAAAGUUGUUCUCAGUUCGGAUUGUAGUCUGCAACUCGACUACAUGAAGCUGGAAUCGCUAGUAAUCGUAGAUCAGCAUGCUACGGUGAAUACGUUCCCGGGUCU
RNAcentral lists this ribosomal RNA (1373 nucleotides) under uncultured bacterium. Its description in RNAcentral is "bacterial SSU rRNA". It matches the Rfam family "Bacterial small subunit ribosomal RNA", at positions 28 to 1381 of the family's 1533-position model. The record is from RNAcentral.